AGAAAAUCAAAUAAAAAUCCAGCUAAAUAAAACAUAAAUGGACCUAAGGUCCAAGUAAGACCGACCUUCAAAGGGUUUGAAGAUCAUAGCAUCAAGCAUAUAGCAACAAAGUCAACAGGCCCAAAGCCUGCAUUAAACUCGGCCCACAGGCCUGCAUGAAAUAGUAAUGACAAAUAAACUCCUGGUGUGUCUCGUACUAUCCCUAUCGUCUCGUUUGCCACCAUAUGUGGCAGAGAAGAAGCAGCUAGAACUGUAAAGAAUAUGGGAAAUGCAGCUGGAUCAAUUUAAGAAAAUUUAUACUGGUGAGAUCUAAAGCUUGCGGCAGAGUUGACAGAGGACUCAUCUCCUGAAUCGAACCAGCUAAAGCCAAAUUGGAGUGAUACCUUUGAUAAUGGCGAAUGAACUCAUAAUAAUAUCAGGAUCGACUUUAUCAAGCUAUGAAUCUCCAACACCAAUAACAAUAUUGUCUUCUCCUUCCACCACUGGCCAUAGAUGAACAGCUCCCCAAAGGGUUGAAGAAGGUGGGAGAGCCAUAGACGACGAUGGUAGGACCUCCACCGCAAAAAAUCCAUACAACACAAGUCUAUAACUAUAACAACAUACAACACAUUAACAAACGAAAAUACCAAAAAAAAAAGAAAAAACUUAAACUAAUAAUGGUUUAUCUUUUUUUGUAAUUAGCAAGUUUUUCUUUUAUUUCAUUUCAUGUAUUUGUAAUUUGCAGGCAGAUUGAGUAGCUUCAGUAGACUACUACCCUUUUGCUCUUCUUUCUCUCCUAUCGCUAAUUCUAUUUUAAAGAUUGAAAAAAAUUUAAUAAAUCUAUUUAUUGAAAUAAUUAAAAUUUAACCUAUU
Molecule: long non-coding RNA, 852 nt
Filed under: Ricinus communis (castor bean)
Lineage: Eukaryota; Viridiplantae; Streptophyta; Magnoliopsida; Malpighiales; Euphorbiaceae
Description: long non-coding RNA (RCOM_LNC001682)
Source: RNAcentral